CCUACGGGUGGCAGCAGUGAGGAAUAUUGGUCAAUGGCCGGAAGGCUGAACCAGCCAAGCCGCGUGCAGGACGAAGGUGCCAAGCAUUGUAAACUUCUUUUGUCAAGGGACAAAAUCAGGCUCGAGAGCCUGAUCGAGGGUACUUGAAGAAAAAGCACCGGCUAAAUCCGUGCCAGCAGCCGCGGUAAUACGGAGGGUGCGAGCGUUAUCCGGAUUUAUUGGGUUUAAAGGGUGCGUAGGCGGACUGUUAAGUCAGCGGUAAAAUCCCGGGGCUCAACCCCGGCGAGCCGUGGAAACUGGGUGUCUUGAGAUGUCGAGAGGUAGGCGGAAUGCGCAGUGUAGCGGUGAAAUGCUUAGAUAUUGCGCAGAACUCCGAUUGCGAAGGCAGCAUACCGUCGGCGUUCUGACGCUGAGGCACGAAAGCGUGGGUAUCGAACAGGAUUAGAUACCCUUGUAGUC
Molecule: ribosomal RNA, 459 nt
Filed under: uncultured bacterium
Lineage: Bacteria
Description: partial 16S ribosomal RNA
Rfam family: Bacterial small subunit ribosomal RNA
Source: RNAcentral